AAAAUCAAGAGCUGGCCUCCGGAGAGAAAGAGAGAGAGAGAAGGCCGCUAACUUCCUCGGAGCGUUGUGAUCAUCAUCAUCCCGAUCGGAUCUGCCGUGGAGCUCGGGAGGACGUCAGGGAGCGAACAUCUCAGGAAGUCAUCAGAUGUUGAAACGUGCUCAGAGAAGACACCUAGCAAGUAUGUGUCACAUGACAACAAAGGCCACAACAAUAGGUACACCUGCACAAUGUCACGUGAUAUAUUUAAAGCGGGACAUUAUCACAAUUUCAGAAGGGUUAAAACCAAUAAAAAUCAGUUCCCUGUGGCUUAUUUUA
Long non-coding RNA from Nerophis ophidion (straightnose pipefish), 316 nucleotides. RefSeq lists it as uncharacterized. The transcript has 2 exons. The record is from RefSeq and is a predicted model, not a curated record. Lineage: Eukaryota; Metazoa; Chordata; Actinopteri; Syngnathiformes; Syngnathidae.